ACGAACGCUGGCGGCAGGCCUAAAACAUGCAAGUCGAACGGGUGUAGUAAUACAUCAGUGGCGCACGGGUGAGUAACGCGUGGGAAUGUGCCCCUUAGUACGGGACAACGUCGGGAAACUGACGCUAAUACCGUAUAAUAUCUCAGGAUCAAAGAUUUAUCGCUGAGGGAGCAGCCCGCGUCUGAUUAGCUAGUUGGUGAGGUAAUGGCUCACCAAGGCUACGAUCAGUAGCAGGUCUGAGAGGAUGAUCUGCCACACUGGGACUGAGACACGGCCCAGACUCCUACGGGAGGCAGCAGUGGGGAAUAUUGGACAAUGGGGGAAACCCUGAUCCAGCCAUGCCGCGUGAGUGAUGAAGGCCCUAGGGUUGUAAAGCUCUUUCGGUGGGGAAGAUAAUGACGGUACCCACAGAAGAAGCCCCGGCUAACUUCGU
Molecule: ribosomal RNA, 433 nt
Filed under: uncultured bacterium
Lineage: Bacteria
Description: bacterial SSU rRNA
Rfam family: Bacterial small subunit ribosomal RNA
Source: RNAcentral